AAGCAUUCUUUUCUGUUUACAGUCAUGAACUGGAUGUGGAGGAGAGCCCGAACCUGACCCCUGAGGAAGCCUGGAGUAAACUGGGCCUUAAACACAACCCUGAGCCUCUGUUCCAAAGCGUGUUGAGCUUCAGAGGCGGCGCUGCUCAGAAGCGUCCGAGGCAGUGGCUAAAUAAAGGAGCAGUCCGCAGCGUCAACAAACACACAAGGUUCUCUGAGGCGGGGGGGGACCACACACCGCCACAGAACAGAACAGCCCUCCACAAGGU
Long non-coding RNA from Notothenia coriiceps (black rockcod), 268 nucleotides. RefSeq lists it as uncharacterized. The transcript has 2 exons. NCBI's taxonomy places the organism in Eukaryota, Metazoa, Chordata, Actinopteri, Perciformes, Nototheniidae. The record is from RefSeq and is a predicted model, not a curated record.